This is a small nuclear RNA of Cornus florida, 158 nucleotides long. RefSeq annotates it as U4 spliceosomal RNA. The record is from RefSeq and is a predicted model, not a curated record. The transcript has a single exon. NCBI's taxonomy places the organism in Eukaryota, Viridiplantae, Streptophyta, Magnoliopsida, Cornales, Cornaceae.
AUCAUUGCGCUAGGGGCAAUGACGCAGCCAGUGAGGUUUUAACCGAGGCGCGUCAAUUGCUGGUUGAAAACUAUUUCCUUUUUUUAUCGCUCUCUUUGGCUUGGGUUCCGCCUAGGCUAUCGAGAAUUUUUGGAAGGGCUCCCUUCUUGGGUAAAGCC